GACAGAGGAUGCAAGCGUUAUCCGGAAUUAUUGGGCGUAAAGCGUCCGCAGGUGGUUUGGCAAGUCUGGUGUUAAAGCACCAUGCUUAACUCGGGAUCGGCACUGGAAACUGCCAGACUAGAGUACGGUAGGGGUUGCGGGAAUUCCUGGUGUAGCGGUGAAAUGCGUAGAGAUCGGGAAGAACACCAGUGGCGAAAGCGCGCAGCUGGGCCAUUACUGACACUGAGGGACGAAAGCUAGGGGAGCGAAUGGG
RNAcentral lists this ribosomal RNA (253 nucleotides) under uncultured bacterium. RNAcentral describes it as "partial 16S ribosomal RNA". It matches the Rfam family "Bacterial small subunit ribosomal RNA", at positions 524 to 776 of the family's 1533-position model. The record is from RNAcentral.